CACCUCCCUACAAACUCCCCCCCGCCCAGCAUACCAUGUGGCAUACCCUUCCCACGAGUUACUUUCAAGAUGAUUCGCUACCCUACAUUUUCAUGCAGUUCUAGAACCCUGCUAAAACAGUGCUGUGCAGUCUGAUCUCCAAGAAAUCAUCAUAUUCCCUGCAGCAAUUCUUGUGGCUCUAUAGAUACUGGCGGAUCGGGCAUCCGGUGCUUGCAACACUCGUGACAAUAGUGCAGAGCUGUGCAGGCUCCAUACUUUUGUCAGAGAUGGCAGACAGUGACAAGUCCCACGUAGGAGCUCGAAUCCCAUCUCCAGGACAGAAGUGGCCUGUCAAGGAAACUGAGGCAGAAUUUGCUGGAUGAUGUAAUGGGACUGUAACCUUCAAUUUAAACUAAAGUGGGGAAACCAAGGCAGGGAGUGGUGGAAUGACUUGCAGAAGGUCACACAAUGAAUGUAACA
Long non-coding RNA from Mauremys reevesii (Reeves's turtle), 459 nucleotides. RefSeq lists it as uncharacterized. The record is from RefSeq and is a predicted model, not a curated record. NCBI's taxonomy places the organism in Eukaryota, Metazoa, Chordata, Testudines, Geoemydidae. The transcript has 4 exons.